RNAcentral lists this long non-coding RNA (317 nucleotides) under Brassica napus (rape). RNAcentral's name for it is "long non-coding RNA (BNAP_LNC016059)". Lineage: Eukaryota; Viridiplantae; Streptophyta; Magnoliopsida; Brassicales; Brassicaceae. The record is from RNAcentral.
GCUUCAUCGCUGUCUCCACUUCUGGCUUAACCUUGUCAACGCUAUCUAUGAUUCCGGCUUCAUCAUGUCUCCGCUUCCAGCCAAUCUCUCAUUCCUCACAUCAGAUCUUGAAUCGAUGGUGGAGAAAACUCCAUCUUCUUCAUGAAUCUGCAUCUGGACAAGAAGAAGCUUUGAUAAGAGAAUAGAUAAAAAGAGUGGUUGAGACAGAUUUCGUGGUGAUGGUUGAAACAGAGUUCAUUAGCGGAGAUAGAUAACGAGGAGGUGGAGAUUAAGAUGAUGGUGGCAGCGGCGGAGGUUAUGGUGAUGGUGGCUGAGUC